Molecule: ribosomal RNA, 253 nt
Filed under: uncultured bacterium
Lineage: Bacteria
Description: partial 16S ribosomal RNA
Rfam family: Bacterial small subunit ribosomal RNA
Source: RNAcentral
UACGUAGGGGGCAAGCGUUGCCCGGAUUCAUUGGGCGUAAAGAGCGUGUAGGCGGCCAGGUAGGUCGGUUGUGAAAACUGGAGGCUCAACCUUCAGAGGUCGACCGAAACCAUCUGGCUAGAGUCCGGGAGAGGAGAGUGGAAUUCCUGGUGUAGCGGUGGAAUGCGCAGAUAUCAGGAGGAACACCGAUAGCGAAGGCAGCUCGCUGGGACGGUACUGACGCUAAGGCGCGAAAGCGUGGGGAGCGAACCGG